GCACCCGUAGCUCAAUGGAUAGAGCACCAGAUUCCGGAUCUGGAGGUUGGUGGUUCGACCCCACUCGGAUGCG
Molecule: transfer RNA, 73 nt
Filed under: Candidatus Levyibacteriota bacterium
Lineage: Bacteria; Candidatus Levyibacteriota
Description: tRNA-Arg
Rfam family: tRNA
About the family: Transfer RNA (tRNA) molecules are approximately 80 nucleotides in length. Their secondary structure includes four short double-helical elements and three loops (D, anti-codon, and T loops).
Source: RNAcentral